RNAcentral lists this ribosomal RNA (488 nucleotides) under uncultured bacterium. RNAcentral's name for it is "partial 16S ribosomal RNA". It matches the Rfam family "Bacterial small subunit ribosomal RNA", at positions 28 to 507 of the family's 1533-position model. The record is from RNAcentral.
GACGAACGCUGGCGGCGUGCUUAACACAUGCCAGUCGAACGCGCCUGUCCUCUGGGUUUCUGGGGGGUGGGUGAGUGGCGAACGGGUGAGUAACGCGUGAGUAACCUGCCCCCUUCUUCGGGAUAACGGUCUGAAAGGGCUGCUAAUACCGGGUAUUCACUGGUCUCCGCAUGGGGUCUGGUGGAAAGGUUUUUUUCUGGUGGGGGAUGGGCUCGCGGCCUAUCAGCUUGUUGGUGGGGUGAUGGCCCACCAAGGCUUUGACGGGUAGCCGGCCUGAGAGGGUGACCGGUCACAUUGGGACUGAGAUACGGCCCAGACUCCUACGGGAGGCAGCAGUGGGGAAUAUUGCACAAUGGGCGCAAGCCUGAUGCAGCGACGCCGCGUGAGGGAUGGAGGCCUCCGGGUUGUGAACCUCUUUCGCCCGUGGUCAAGCCGCGACGUGGGUCGUGGUGAGGGUAGUGGGUAAAGAAGCGCCGGCUAACUACGUG